Molecule: ribosomal RNA, 596 nt
Filed under: Trametes versicolor
Lineage: Eukaryota; Fungi; Basidiomycota; Agaricomycetes; Polyporales; Polyporaceae
Description: eukaryotic LSU rRNA
Rfam family: 5.8S ribosomal RNA (bases 186-339)
Source: RNAcentral
CAUCGAGCUUUGACGAGUUGUAGCUGGCCUUCCGAGGCAUGUGCACGCUCUGCUCAUCCACUCUACCCCUGUGCACUUACUGUAGGUUGGCGUGGGCUCCUUUGCGGGAGCAUUCUGCCGGCCUAUGUAUACUACAAACACUUUAAAGUAUCAGAAUGUAAACGCGUCUAACGCAUCUAUAAUACAACUUUUAGCAACGGAUCUCUUGGCUCUCGCAUCGAUGAAGAACGCAGCGAAAUGCGAUAAGUAAUGUGAAUUGCAGAAUUCAGUGAAUCAUCGAAUCUUUGAACGCACCUUGCGCUCCUUGGUAUUCCGAGGAGCAUGCCUGUUUGAGUGUCAUGGAAUUCUCAACUUAUAAAUCCUUGUGAUCUAUAAGCUUGGACUUGGAGGCUUGCUGGCCCUUGUUGGUCGGCUCCCCUUGAAGGCAUUACCUCGAUUCCGUACGGAUCGGCUCUCAUGGUGAUAAUUGUCUACCCUGUGACCGUGAAGGGUUUUGGCAAGCUUCUAACCGUCCAUUAGGACAACUUUUUAACAUCUGACCUCAAAUCAGGUAGAACUACCCGCUGAACUUAACCAUAAUAACCGGGGGAAAAAAA